This is a long non-coding RNA of Pipra filicauda (Wire-tailed manakin), 597 nucleotides long. RefSeq lists it as uncharacterized. NCBI's taxonomy places the organism in Eukaryota, Metazoa, Chordata, Aves, Passeriformes, Pipridae. The record is from RefSeq and is a predicted model, not a curated record. The transcript has 2 exons.
UCCUUCACUUGAAGGCUCCUCAUAGCACACUCUUUUAUCAGAAGAACAAGAACAAUUGUGCCAUCCUUUCCAUGCUACUCAUUACUCCGAGGACCUCUGUAAUCCACCUUCAUUUGCCUCUUCUCCCAGCCUCUGAGUCCUCAGUCACUUCACUCUUCACACAUUUGUUCCCCUUCAAUCAUUUUAUGAGUUUUCUUAUUAUUAUGGAAGUUCUCCAGGCUCUUUAGCACCCCUUUUCUCCAAAGGCUCCAGCAAGACUUAACUCCAAUAAUCCUGUUUUGUUACCUUCUCCUUUAGGAGUUUCUCCAGGAACGUAAAAUUUACAUCUUAACUGACAGCAAUACCCUCCCCUAACAAAAGGAUGUACUACUAUAUUAGAUUACAUGCUCCCAUGUCAGAGGACUGAGUUCAAUGUGCAUAAACUACUGUCUGCAGUCCACAAGAAAUGUUACAGAGCACACCCUGCCCCAGCAAAUGACAUGGACCCUGCACCUCAUUUCAACUGUGAGAAGCAAUGGGAUACAAUGAAUUCUUUGCCCUCCUUUGGCCAAUAUGUCUCCAAACAACAUAUAACAAAUAACAACAUUUAACAAAUUC